GGCGCUUUAGCUCAGUUGGAUAGAGCAUACGCCUCCGGAGCGUAAGGUCAUGGGUUCAAAUCCCAUAAGUGCCGCCA
Molecule: transfer RNA, 77 nt
Filed under: Faecalibacillus intestinalis
Lineage: Bacteria; Bacillati; Bacillota; Erysipelotrichia; Erysipelotrichales; Coprobacillaceae
Also listed under: 2 other names
Description: tRNA-Arg
Rfam family: tRNA
About the family: Transfer RNA (tRNA) molecules are approximately 80 nucleotides in length. Their secondary structure includes four short double-helical elements and three loops (D, anti-codon, and T loops). Further hydrogen bonds mediate the characteristic L-shaped molecular structure. tRNAs have two regions of fundamental functional importance: the anti-codon, which is responsible for specific mRNA codon recognition, and the 3' end, to which the tRNAs corresponding amino acid is attached (by aminoacyl-tRNA synthetases). tRNAs cope with the degeneracy of the genetic code in two manners: having more than one tRNA (with a specific anti-codon) for a particular amino acid; and 'wobble' base-pairing, i.e. permitting non-standard base-pairing at the 3rd anti-codon position.
Source: RNAcentral